GAUGAAGAACGUAGCGAAAUGCGAAAAGUAGUGUGAAUUGCAGAAUUCAGUGAAUCAUCGAAUCUUUGAACGCACAUUGCGCCCCUUGGUAUUCCAUGGGGCAUGCCUGUUCGAGCGUCAUUUUGUACCCUCAAGCACUGCUUGGUGUUGGGCGUUUGUCCUGCAGAGGACUCGCCUGAAAGCGAUUGGCGGCCAACGUAGUCGUGCCAGAGCGCAGCACAAUCUCGCGUCUCUCCCCUCUGCGUCGGCGUCCAUGAAGCCCACAAUCUCAACGUUUGACCUCGGAUCAGGUAGGGAUACCCGCUGAACUUAAGCAUAUCAAUAAGCGGAGGA
This 333-nucleotide unclassified non-coding RNA is filed under the name soil metagenome. RNAcentral describes it as "partial contains 5.8S ribosomal RNA, internal transcribed spacer 2, and large subunit ribosomal RNA". The stretch from base 1 to 120 matches the Rfam family "5.8S ribosomal RNA", at positions 35 to 154 of the family's 154-position model. The record is from RNAcentral.